RNAcentral lists this ribosomal RNA (497 nucleotides) under uncultured bacterium. Its description in RNAcentral is "partial 16S ribosomal RNA". It matches the Rfam family "Bacterial small subunit ribosomal RNA", at positions 28 to 507 of the family's 1533-position model. The record is from RNAcentral.
GAUGAACGCUGGCGGCGUGCCUAAUACAUGCAAGUCGAGCGAACAGACGAGGAGCUUGCUCCUCUGACGUUAGCGGCGGACGGGUGAGUAACACGUGGAUAACCUACCUAUAAGACUGGGAUAACUUCGGGAAACCGGAGCUAAUACCGGAUAAUAUAUUGAACCGCAUGGUUCAAUAGUGAAAGACGGUUUUGCUGUCACUUAUAGAUGGAUCCGCGCCGCAUUAGCUAGUUGGUAAGGUAACGGCUUACCAAGGCAACGAUGCGUAGCCGACCUGAGAGGGUGAUCGGCCACACUGGAACUGAGCCACGGUCCAGACUCCUACGGGAGGCAGCAGUAGGGAAUCUUCCGCAAUGGGCGAAAGCCUGACGGAGCAACGCCACGUGAGUGAUGAAGGUCUUCGGAUCGUAAAACUCUGUUAUUAGGGAAGAACAAAUGUGUAAGUAACUAUGCACGUCUUGACGGUACCUAAUCAGAAAGCCACGGCUAACUACGUG